UCUCCGUCAUUUCCACUCCUCCAUUGAAAAAAACAGAUCUCAUCUCUGCUCUUCCUCACACGGCGGAUAACAACCACCGCCCACCGCCAGCAUGUGCUUCAGCCACCACCAAUCGCUCCAUCGGUUUAGUGGACUGAGUGGGGAAAAAUUACCUACAGAUGGGAAACACAUAAAGCAAUAAUAUGGUACUUUCAGCGAUGAUCCAAGGAGCAAAUAGAUCCCCGGUGUGUUUAGCUCGAGAUGUUUUCAUGAAAAAAUAUAUGAAGCCAAUGUGUGUUGACGAUGACAAAGAAGUUGUUACUCAUAAUUGCUAGAGCUUCAGUGAUCUUAUGAAGGAUCUUGGGUACAUG
Molecule: non-coding RNA, 350 nt
Organism: Erythranthe guttata (spotted monkey flower)
Lineage: Eukaryota; Viridiplantae; Streptophyta; Magnoliopsida; Lamiales; Phrymaceae
Source: RefSeq, a predicted model, not a curated record